GAACCCUUCCGCCCCUUACGAAAAAUCAAAGUCUUUGGGUUCUNNNNGACUUAAGCAUAUCAAUAAGCGGAGGAAAAGAAACCAACAGGGAUUGCCUCAGUAACGGCGAGUGAAGCGGCAACAGCUCAAAUUUGAAAUCUGACUUCGGUCCGAGUUGUAAUUUGUAGAGGAAGUCUCGGGUGCGAUACUGGUCUAAGUUCCUUGGAACAGGACGUCAUAGAGGGUGAGAAUCCCGUAUGCGACUGGUGGUCAACCCCAUGUGAGGCCCCUUCGACGAGUCGAGUUGUUUGGGAAUGCAGCUCAAAAUGGGUGGUAAAUUUCAUCUAAAGCUAAAUACCGGCCAGAGACCGAUAGCGCACAAGUAGAGUGAUCGAAAGAUGAAAAGCACUUUGGAAAGAGAGUUAAAAAGUACGUGAAAUUGUUGAAAGGGAAGCGCUUGCAACCAGACUUGCUCGCGGGUGAUCCACCGUCCCUCGGGGCGGUCUACUCUCCCGUGAUCAGGCCAACAUCGGUUUCGGUGGCUGGAUACAGGCUCCGGGAAUGUGGCUCCCUCCGGGGAGUGUUAUAGCCCGGGGUGCAAUGCAGCCCGCCGGGACCGAGGACCGCGCUUCGGCUUAGGAUGUUGGCGUAAU
Molecule: ribosomal RNA, 632 nt
Filed under: Baeomyces rufus
Lineage: Eukaryota; Fungi; Ascomycota; Lecanoromycetes; Baeomycetales; Baeomycetaceae
Description: LSU rRNA
Rfam family: Eukaryotic large subunit ribosomal RNA
Source: RNAcentral